GACGAACGCUGUCGGCGUGCUUAACACAUGCAAGUCGAACGGAAAGGCCCUGCUUUUGUGGGGUGCUCGAGUGGCGAACGGGUGAGUAACACGUGAGUAACCUGCCCUUGACUUUGGGAUAACUUCAGGAAACUGGGGCUAAUACCGGAUAGGAGCUCCUGCUGCAUGGUGGGGGUUGGAAAGUUUCGGCGGUUGGGGAUGGACUCGCGGCUUAUCAGCUUGUUGGUGGGGUAGUGGCUUACCAAGGCUUUGACGGGUAGCCGGCCUGAGAGGGUGACCGGCCACAUUGGGACUGAGAUACGGCCCAGACUCCUACGGGAGGCAGCAGUGGGGAAUAUUGCACAAUGGGCGGAAGCCUGAUGCAGCAACGCCGCGUGCGGGAUGACGGCCUUCGGGUUGUAAACCGCUUUCGCCUGUGACGAAGCGUGAGUGACGGUAAUGGGUAAAGAAGCACCGGCUAACUACGUGCCAGCAGCCGCGGUGAUACGUAGGGUGCGAGCGUUGUCCGGAUUUAUUGGGCGUAAAGGGCUCGUAGGUGGUUGAUCGCGUCGGAAGUGUAAUCUUGGGGCUUAACCCUGAGCGUGCUUUCGAUACGGGUUGACUUGAGGAAGGUAGGGGAGAAUGGAAUUCCUGGUGGAGCGGUGGAAUGCGCAGAUAUCAGGAGGGACACCAGUGGCGAAGGCGGUUCUCUGGGCCUUUCCUGACGCUGAGGAGCGAAAGCGUGGGGAGCGAACAGGCUUAGAUACCCUGGUAGUCCACGCUGUAAACGGUGGGUACUAGGUGUGGGGUCCAUUCCACGGGUUCCGUGCCGUAGCUAACGCUUUAAGUACCCCGCCUGGGGAGUACGGCCGCAAGGCUAAAACUCAAAGGAAUUGACGGGGCCCCGCACAAGCGGCGGAGCAUGCGGAUUAAUUCGAUGCAACGCGUAGAACCUUACCUGGGUUUGACAUGGAUCGGGAGUGCUCAGAGAUGGGUGUGCCUCUUUUGGGGUCGGUUCACAGGUGGUGCAUGGCUGUCGUCAGCUCGUGUCGUGAGAUGUUGGGUUAAGUCCCGCAACGAGCGCAACCCUUGUUCACUGUUGCCAGCACGUUAUGGUGGGGACUCAGUGGAGACCGCCGGGGUCAACUCGGAGGAAGGUGGGGAUGACGUCAAGUCAUCAUGCCCCUUAUGUCCAGGGCUUCACGCAUGCUACAAUGGCUGGUACAGAGAGUGGCGAGCCUGUGAGGGUGAGCGAAUCUCGGAAAGCCGGUCUCAGUUCGGAUUGGGGUCUGCAACUCGACCUCAUGAAGUCGGAGUCGCUAGUAAUCGCAGAUCAGCAACGCUGCGGUGAAUACGUUCCCGGGGCU
This 1346-nucleotide ribosomal RNA is filed under the name uncultured bacterium. Its description in RNAcentral is "partial 16S ribosomal RNA". It matches the Rfam family "Bacterial small subunit ribosomal RNA", at positions 28 to 1381 of the family's 1533-position model. The record is from RNAcentral.